Molecule: ribosomal RNA, 1439 nt
Filed under: Scruparia chelata
Lineage: Eukaryota; Metazoa; Bryozoa; Gymnolaemata; Cheilostomatida; Scrupariidae
Description: SSU rRNA
Rfam family: Eukaryotic small subunit ribosomal RNA
Source: RNAcentral
GGAUAACAGAGAAUCUGGGUUCGAUUCCGGAGAGGCCGCAUGAGAAACGGCGACCACUUCCAAGGAAGGCAGCAGGCACGCAAAUUACCCACUUCGGACACCGAGAGGUAGUGACGAACAAUACCGAUGCGGUGCACUUACGUGUCGCCGUAAUCGGAAUGAGUACACUUCAAAUCCUUUAACGAGGAUCCACUGGAGGGCAAGCCUGGUGCCAGCAGCCGCGGUAAUUCCAGCUCCAGCAGCGUAUAUUUAUAUUGCUGCGUUUAAAAAGCUCGUAGUUGAAGCGUCAGACGCGGGAGGACGGACGACCGCACUGGUCGCUUCUCGUCCGACCGAGCCAGGCGCAGAGGGCGUCCGUCGGUUGCACUUUACCGUGUGAUCGCGGCGUCGCUGCACGUUCACCUUGAAGAAAUUGAACCGCUUAGAGGAGGCGAGCAGCUUGUACAGCUCAGCAUGGUAUGAUGGAACAUGGGCUCGUACUCAUUUUGUUGGUUUUAGAGUUCGCGAGCCAAUGAUUAACAGGGACUGCCGGGGGCAUUCGUACUCGGACGGGAGAGGUGAAAUUCAAGGAUCGUCCGAAGACGCUCUACUGCGAAAGCAUUUGCCAAGAAUGUUUUCAUUAAUCAAGAACGAAAGUCAGAGGUGCGAAGGCGAUCAGAUACCGCCGUAGUUCUGACCGUAAACGUUGCCGACUGGCAAUUGGGCGCACUUCUGUCGAAGUUGCCGCCAGCAGUAUUCCCCGGGAAACCAAAGUCAUUGGGCUCCGGGGGGAGUAUGGUUGCAAAGCUGAAACUUAAAGGAAUUGACGGAAGGGCACCACCAGGAGUGGAGCCUGCGGCUUAAUUUGACUCAACACGGGAAACCUCACCCGGCCCGAACACUGUUAUGACAGACAGGUUGAGAGCUCUUUCUCGAUUCAGUGGUUGGUGGUGCAUGGCCGUUCUUAGUUCGUGGAGCGAUCUGUCUGGUUAAUUCCGAUAACGAACGAGACUCUUGCCUGCUAAAUAGACGGCGUCGACUCGCGUCGGCGACCGAUCGCUUCUUAGAGGGACAAGCGGCUUUUAGUCGCGUGAAGCGGAGAGCAAUAACAGGUCAGUGAUGCCCUCAGAUGUUCGGGGCCGCACGCGCGCUACACUGUUUGCAUCAGCGUGUUUCACCCUCGCCGGCUGGCGUGGGCAACCCGUUGAACCGCAAACGUGCUAGGGAUCGGAGAUUGCAAUUAUUCUCCGUCAACGAGGAAUUCCUUGUACUUGCGAGUCAUCAGCUCGCGGGGAAUCUGUCCCUGCCCUUUGUACACACCGCCCGUCGCUACUACCGAUUGAGUGGUUUAGUGAGGCCCACGGACGGCCCGCGGCACUCGGCGCUUCGGCGUCGCGUCGCGGACUGAAAGUGAGACGAACUUGAUCACUUCUAGGAAGUAAAAGUCGUAACAAGGUUUU